RNAcentral lists this ribosomal RNA (62 nucleotides) under Mammaliicoccus sciuri. RNAcentral's name for it is "partial 16S ribosomal RNA". The record is from RNAcentral. Lineage: Bacteria; Bacillati; Bacillota; Bacilli; Caryophanales; Staphylococcaceae.
ACUUCUUUUAUGGAGAGUUUGAUCCUGGCUAAGUAUGAAAGAUGGCGGCGUUCCUAAUACAU